This is a long non-coding RNA of Halichondria panicea, 705 nucleotides long. RefSeq lists it as uncharacterized. The record is from RefSeq and is a predicted model, not a curated record. NCBI's taxonomy places the organism in Eukaryota, Metazoa, Porifera, Demospongiae, Suberitida, Halichondriidae. The transcript has 3 exons.
GUAGAAAACACUAGAUGUCAAAGACCUGGGGUUUUUCUGUGCCGGGUCUAUGCAUGACAAUGGAUCACAGUCUUCUAAUCUACGAGUGGUCUUGCCCCUCAUGCACAUUCAGUAAUAAACCAGGGUCCUUCAAAUGCCAGGUCUGUGGUACCCCUAAAGGAACUGCUACAAGGCAAACGAAGUAUCACUCCUCGACAGUAGAACAGCAGUUUCUGGCUGAGACAAUGUCACAGCGGCUACAUGGGCUACAAACAGCACGAGCAGCGAACACAGCAAAAAAUCUAACUAAUGCUAGUAGCAAUAGCAGUGUCACAGAAGCAGAGGGUGACGCCAGUACAGCUAAUGACAGUUGUGGAACAUCAAGUAGAACGCAUCCAGUAAUGAGCAAGAAGAUCAAGAGUCAGAGCGGCCUAAAAGCUAACCGAGAGGAUUAUUUGUGGCCGAGACUCAAGAAUAUUAACAGAUCUUCAGGAAAGUCUUGUGAAAUAACUGUGGACAAUCUAUCCAUACUAAUUACCGAAUAUGACAUGCUCCACCCAGAUUCGGACUAAUUGAUCUCACAAUUAAAUCAGUUUUGAGCAGCAUCACUUAUUAAUUUUUGUAUGGAGAGUUUGAUUCGAGUUCAUUUGUUUGUGGGGCAUUGAAUUCGCAUGAUCACUUAUUAAUUUUUGUAUGGAGAGUUUGAUUCGAGUUCAUUUGUUUGUG